RNAcentral lists this ribosomal RNA (405 nucleotides) under Triticum aestivum (bread wheat). RNAcentral describes it as "partial small subunit ribosomal RNA". Lineage: Eukaryota; Viridiplantae; Streptophyta; Magnoliopsida; Poales; Poaceae. The record is from RNAcentral.
AUGGAUCUUCUCCAGUUUGUGCUCAACUUUAAAGGCACACCACCAUGGCUGAACUCGACGGCCCUUACCGCCCUUACGGACCGUUGGAGGCCGGAGACGCACUCUUUUCACCUUGCUCUUGGUGAGAUGACCGUCACUUUGGAGGAUAUUGCGAUGAUCUCCGGUCUUUCGAUCGAGGGCAGGGCUCUUACCGGGAAGGUAACGUCCGAGGGGUGGCGACAAAGGGUUGCAGGUUUGGUUGGUGUUGAACCUCCCCCGUGGAUUCAUGAAACAAAGAAGGAUCCUAGGCCAUCUGGUGUUUUGUUCUCGUGGCUACAAGAACAUUUUUACGAGUGCCCAGAGAAUGCUAGUCCGGCUGUUGUGGAGAGGUACGCCAGGGCUUACUUAUGGAAUAUUUUGACCCAA